This is a long non-coding RNA of Heterocephalus glaber (naked mole-rat), 323 nucleotides long. RefSeq lists it as uncharacterized. Lineage: Eukaryota; Metazoa; Chordata; Mammalia; Rodentia; Bathyergidae. The record is from RefSeq and is a predicted model, not a curated record.
CGGCCGCCGCCGCCGCCUCACCCUCGGCCGCCUGCAAAGUCUGCAAGAGCUGGCGUGCUUCCUCCUCCUCCUCUUCGGUUGCCGCCGCCACCGCCUUCCCCCCGGCCGCCGGCCCAGCGCUCGGCUCAGCAGGCAAGCUGCCCAACAGGCCAUUGGCCAAUCGCAUUCGCCUCCUGAUUGGUGCACUGGCAGCCUCCUCCCCACCACGCUUACAGAGAGACACCCCGGAGGCUGGAGCUUUGGAGAGACUACCGAGCCUUUUAUUCUCGAGGGUCGGGGGUGGGGUUCUAGGUGGGGACAGACAAUAAAUACUGAGGAAUGUC